RNAcentral lists this long non-coding RNA (1145 nucleotides) under Olea europaea subsp. europaea. The record is from RNAcentral. Lineage: Eukaryota; Viridiplantae; Streptophyta; Magnoliopsida; Lamiales; Oleaceae.
GUUGAAUAAAAAAUUCUUGGGUCCCCCCUUCUGUAAGUACAUUGUCAACUGAGAUUGUCAAUCUCGAUUGUACAAGAAGAAUAAUUCAGCUAUGAAAUCGCAAAUUGGCCAUAAAAAGAAGCAGACCGUAUGUGAUGACAGAAAAUCUGUCAUCUUGAAAUUGUCAAAUAAAGAACCAGAUUUGCUUAUAAUCCUCCUUAAGGCUGUUUUUGAGAAGAUACAGACACAGGAGGGAAAUCAUGAGAUGCCAAAUAGGUAACUACCAACUUAAUGUGUGACAUUUUUCAAGCAUAAUUUAUGCUUGUCUACGAUUAAUUUUUCUUAAUAUUACUAUAGUUAUUUUUUAAUUAGUUGAUUAUAUUCAAUAGUAAUGUUCUAAUAUUUGAUCUACUUUUUUAUGGAUCAUCAGGCGAAAAUCACUAUCGGGGAUAGUUUUGCCAAGUCUCACCAAAUCGAGUUGCUUAUUUGUUUGAAAAACUUGUUGGAAAUUUCAACACGCUAUAUUCUCUCACGAGGAACCUACAGAAUGCAAAGAUUCUCAGACCGAACCAAGCCUGCCAACAGAAACGGUACAAGGAUUUUUAUGCAAAUGUCUUUUGUUGUCUUGUCCUGGCAACAAAAAGCUGAUUGAUUUGGCCCUUGUUCUUGCAUGGAUGACUGGAGACAACUCUUUACUCUAUAAAUAGCUCAAAGUCAGUGAAGCUUAUUGUCCGAUUGAAGAAUUGGAUAGCACAUUUGUUAAGAAAGUGAAGGACAAGGAAGUAGAUUGUGAUUCAUACAAUAAGGACACUGUCAUGGUUUGUCUGAUGGUCUAUGUAGUCCGGAAAAAUGUUGUGGAGGAAGAGCUGCUUGCCAUUGCAUUAUUAGUGUAGUCACUGCUGGUAAUGAUUCUGUUAUAAAUCUACCACCAAUUCUGGAACUCUACGAACAUCUGGUGAUAUGUCAACAAAUCUGCUAUUCCCAUUCGGCAUCUAUCAACUUAAUUCGUUCUGCGAUUCAAUAUUUAUUUCCUUAUUCAUUUGAAUGUACUUGGACUCUGUCCCUGCUUCCUAGGAUGCCCAGUCCCAAGAAUACGAAGAACAGAAUGGGAAAAGAAAGCAAGUAAAACAAUUUGUAGUUCAUGUUAUAAUCACCGCAGAAUUUAG